GAUGAACGCUGGCGGCGUGCUUAACACAUGCAAGUCGAACGGGAAACCUUUUAUUGAAGCUUCGGCAGAUUUCGCUGGUUUCUAGUGGCGGACGGGUGAGCAACGCGUGGGUAACCUGCCUUAUACAGGGGGAUAACAACCAGACAUGGUUGCUAAUACCGCAUAAGCGCACAGGACCGCAUGGUCCGGUGUGAAAAACUCCGGUGGUAUAAGAUGGACCCGCGUUGGAUUAGCUAGUUGGCAGGGUAACGGCCUACCAAGGCGACGAUCCAUAGCCGGCCUGAGAGGGUGAACGGCCACAUUGGGACUGAGACACGGCCCAGACUCCUACGGGAGGCAGCAGUGGGGAAUAUUGCACAAUGGGGGAAACCCUGAUGCAGCGACGCCGCGUGAAGGAAGAAGUAUCUCGGUAUGUAAACUUCUAUCAGCAGGGAAGAUAGUGACGGUACCUGACUAAGAAGCCCCGGCUAACUACGUG
RNAcentral lists this ribosomal RNA (478 nucleotides) under uncultured bacterium. RNAcentral describes it as "partial 16S ribosomal RNA". It matches the Rfam family "Bacterial small subunit ribosomal RNA", at positions 28 to 507 of the family's 1533-position model. The record is from RNAcentral.